This is a long non-coding RNA of Panicum virgatum (switchgrass), 526 nucleotides long. RefSeq lists it as uncharacterized. Lineage: Eukaryota; Viridiplantae; Streptophyta; Magnoliopsida; Poales; Poaceae. The transcript is spliced from 2 exons. The record is from RefSeq and is a predicted model, not a curated record.
UAUGUAGCAUAUUGUGUUUCAUUGCAUCUCCUUCCAUUCCAUAUUUAAUUUCUGUAAAUUAUUAUGCUUCUGUCAUUUCAGCCACUAGGCCUGAAGGUUGAAGUUACGAAUGAAGCUUUUUUCUCUAAACUCCCAGCGGCACCUGAAACGUUAGUGUCCAAUAACCAAGAGCAACUUCUGAAGAUCGUCAAAUCGAAAGGUGGCUACUAAUAUGUGGGUUGCCAGAUGUUAAUUGAGAAAAUGAAAGAAUCCAUUGGUCGCUAGCAGAGGUUGGGGAAUUAAAAUGUAAAGACUUGUUUAAUUAAGCGUUAUGUAGUCACUAGCUAGGGAGAUUGGUGACAGGGCAGCCAUGGAAAUUUGAAAGUCGUUGGAUUUCACAUGGAUCCUUUUUGUGCUUCAUUUAUCUUGCUUGCCAACUUCAACAAAUUUUUUAGGAGUCAUUUGUCAAAAUUGCAUAUAAGAUAUCACCUAUUACUGCUAGUUAUGCUACAUUCAGUUACUCAGAUUAACGUUCUGUUGUUUUGGU